This is a long non-coding RNA of Oryctolagus cuniculus (rabbit), 546 nucleotides long. RefSeq lists it as uncharacterized. NCBI's taxonomy places the organism in Eukaryota, Metazoa, Chordata, Mammalia, Lagomorpha, Leporidae. The record is from RefSeq and is a predicted model, not a curated record.
CCCUGCUUAUGUCACAUCGAGUUUAUUUAUGUGAGCACGCGAGUGUACUUCAAAACGUCUGGAGAAAUGGAAUGAAAAGACAGCACCGGCAUCCCAUAUGGGAACUGGUUUGAGUCCUGGCUGCUACACUCCCGAUCCAGUUCCCUGCUAUGGCCUGGGAAAGCAGCGGGAGAUGGCCCAAGUCCCUGGGCCCCUACCAUCCAUGUGGGAGACCUGGAGAAAACUCCUGACUCCUGGCUUCCACCUGGCCCAACCCCGGCCGUUGCAGCCAUUUGGGGAGUAAACCAGCCGAUGGAAGACCUCUCAGUGGCUCCUGGAAUCUCCUCAAGGCCAGGAGAGGGUCUCCCUUCAGCCUUGACUUUGGCUGUGAGACGGAGCUCAGGCCCCUGACCUCUGGACUGUACCAUGCCACCCACAGGCUGGGACAGAGGACAGUGGUCGCCUGCAGAGCAGCGGGGCCUUCCUCCAUGCCUCUGUGCCACUUGUGUGUCUUCAGACCCCAAGAGAACUGGCUGGGUCCAGGUUUGGUCCCGGCCAGGCACACCC